Molecule: long non-coding RNA, 385 nt
Organism: Gigantopelta aegis
Lineage: Eukaryota; Metazoa; Mollusca; Gastropoda; Neomphalida; Peltospiridae
Exons: 2
Source: RefSeq, a predicted model, not a curated record
UCCAGAAUCACUCGAUAUUGACCAGAAACGCUCAUCCGAUUCGUCGCCAGAAUCAUUCGGUAGCGACAAGAAACGCUCGUCCGAUUCGUCACCAGAAUCAUUCGGUAGCGACAAGAAACGCUCAUCCGAUUCGUCGCCAGAAUCAUUCGGUAGCGACAAGAAACGCUCAUCCAAUUCGUCGCCAGAAUCAAUCGAUUCCUCGAUAUCAUCGCGAGAGUCAUUUGAUGGCAAGAGAGACGCCUAGAUUACAAAUCAUCUGGAUUUGUUGAAAAGAUAUUUGAACAACUCUGUUCAUUACUGAAAAGCUGUCUUCGUCCACGAUACAGAUGAGGUUUUAAAUACACUACCUCCUUUCCAAAAAAAAAAAAAAAAAAAAAAAAACCCC